AUCAACUAGGUAGUUACUGCAAGACUCCCCUCCCCAGAAUUUCAACGCCUGCUAAACUCCCUGCCCCUUGCUCGAUCUCUCUUAUUCUUCUUCUCCGACCCCAAACCCAUUUUCUCUCUUUGCAAUCUGGCUCCCUUACAUCUUCUUCUUUGCCUUGUUUGCAUACACUUUUAGAAGCCUAUUUUUUCUAAUUUUUUGGGCGUCUCAUUAUUCCCAAUCUACUGGAUCUCCGUCUUCUCCUCCAAUUAGAGCGCAUGAGAUCUCGCCGGUGUCUGGUUUGGAGAAUACGAUUUCAGAUGGGACUCUUUUCACUGGGGGUAAUUAAGCUUCAUCUUUUUUUAUUUUAUUGUUAUAAUUUAAUAUGUUUCAAUUCUUCCAUUUUUUUAAUUUAAUCAAUUACAAAUUAUGGGAAAUGAUAAAUGGUUUAUUUGUGGUAGUUAAUGCUUAAAAAAUGAAGGUAAUUUUGAUAUGAUUUUUCAUGGAUAAAAUCAUAUGGUUGUGUUUUUACUCGGCUUUGUGAUGAUUAUCUUUCCAGUUAUGAGUUCAAUCAAUUGCAUUGUGGGAACGAACAAUUCCCCGUCUUAAAUCACCAUUUAUCGGUCUGGAAAUGGUUGAUUACAACGACAGAGACAAGUCAUAAGUGGUAGUUAAUGGAGUAAAUAUGUAUCAUGUUUGGUUUUUGUGCACUAGAUAACCUGAAUGUGUAAGCAAUUGAUAAGAAGCUAAUGACUUAGGUCAGGUGGGAGAUAGAACGGAGCAGCAAAGAAAUAUAUAGUAUAUAUUUCCAGAAAUGUAUGUAGUGGCUGUAGUAGAUUCGUGAUCUAAUCAUGUGUUUAUCUAUUCAUUUUUUAAAUUGAGAUCAAAUGUAUAGUUCCACCCAUAGCAGUACAAGAUUUUGUUUUUCUUUUCAUCCAUAUACUUAUGUCUAUGCAGAUCAAAGGAGGCAACAACUUCUGAAGCUCAAGCAUUCGAGGCAGUGUUUCACUCUCGAAGUCCUUUGUUUGGAGGUGUUCAAAGAAAAAUGAAGUGUUCAAGUAACUAUGUCUUGGUUAUUGGAGGUUUAUUUGGUACUUCAUGGAUAAAUUGAUAUUUCUUAGUAUAACUCGGUGGUUCUUUUUUU
Molecule: long non-coding RNA, 1120 nt
Filed under: Malus domestica (apple)
Lineage: Eukaryota; Viridiplantae; Streptophyta; Magnoliopsida; Rosales; Rosaceae
Description: long non-coding RNA (MDOM_LNC000958)
Source: RNAcentral